CAGUCGCCGCGGUAAGACAGAGGAUGCAAGCGUUAUCCGGAAUGAUUGGGCGUAAAGCGUCUGUAGGUGGCUUUUCAGGUCCGCCGUCAAAUCCCAGGGCUCAACCCUGGACAGGCGGUGGAACCUACCAAGUUGGAGUACGGUAGGGGCAGAGGGAAUUUCCUGUGGAGCGGUGAAAUGCGUUGAGAUCGGAAAGAACACCAACGGUGAAAGCACUCUGCUGGGCCGACACUGACACUGAGAGAUGAAAGCUAGGGGAGCAAAUGGGAUUAGAUACCCCCGUAGUCCCUGUCUCUUAUAC
Molecule: ribosomal RNA, 301 nt
Filed under: uncultured bacterium
Lineage: Bacteria
Description: partial 16S ribosomal RNA
Rfam family: Bacterial small subunit ribosomal RNA
Source: RNAcentral